RNAcentral lists this ribosomal RNA (465 nucleotides) under Vreelandella stevensii. RNAcentral describes it as "partial 16S ribosomal RNA". It matches the Rfam family "Bacterial small subunit ribosomal RNA", at positions 338 to 795 of the family's 1533-position model. Lineage: Bacteria; Pseudomonadati; Pseudomonadota; Gammaproteobacteria; Oceanospirillales; Halomonadaceae. The record is from RNAcentral.
CCUACGGGGGGCUGCAGCGGGGAAUAUUGGACAAUGGGGGCAACCCUGAUCCAGCCAUGCCGCGUGUGUGAAGAAGGCCCUCGGGUUGUAAAGCACUUUCAGUGAGGAAGAACGCCUGGUGGUUAAUACCCAUCAGGAAAGACAUCACUCACAGAAGAAGCACCGGCUAACUCCGUGCCAGCAGCCGCGGUAAUACGGAGGGUGCGAGCGUUAAUCGGAAUUACUGGGCGUAAAGCGCGCGUAGGUGGCUUGAUAAGCCGGUUGUGAAAGCCCCGGGCUCAACCUGGGAACGGCAUCCGGAACUGUCAAGCUAGAGUGCAGGAGAGGAAGGUAGAAUUCCCGGUGUAGCGGUGAAAUGCGUAGAGAUCGGGAGGAAUACCAGUGGCGAAGGCGGCCUUCUGGACUGACACUGACACUGAGGUGCGAAAGCGUGGGUAGCAAACAGGAUUAGAUACCCGUGUAGUC